CCCCGCCAUAUUCUGUAUUUUCCUGUCCUAAGUUAGAAGCCUGUGAUUCAGUGGUUUUUAUUGUUGUAAAUCAUAUUUUUUUUUCGUUUAUUUUUUUUUCUAGAUAAAUCAGGCCGUUAGCUUUCUAGUUUGAAUUGUUAACAUUUUCCAUUUCGGGACUUUUUAUAACUUGCUGUGUUUUUUUCAACGCUCAUUGUUAAAGGUUGUGAAUUUUGUUUAUUGUUCGUUUUUUGGUCAUGGUAUAUUGUUGCCACUGCACCUCUUUUGCUCAUUUAAUAAUAUUGAAAAUAAUUUGUUUUGAUUGAUGCAGUGUUUAAACAAAAACUACGAAGGUGUUAUAAUGACUUCUUUGCCCAAUAAAUAUCGCGUAAUUUAUCAACAGUAGCAGCUUGAACACACACAUAUAUGAAAUCAUAUUACAAAGAUUUGUCACUGCACACCUUUUCUUUGAAAUAGAUAUGCUGAGAUGACAAUCUAUAAAUUUGUUAUUGCACCUUCGUGUGUAUGAGUCAGUAACCUAUCAAACAAACUCGUUG
Molecule: long non-coding RNA, 536 nt
Filed under: Mytilus galloprovincialis (Mediterranean mussel)
Lineage: Eukaryota; Metazoa; Mollusca; Bivalvia; Mytilida; Mytilidae
Source: RNAcentral